GACGAACGCUGGCGGCGUGCCUAAUACAUGCAAGUCGAGCGAACAGACGAGGAGCUUGCUCCUCUGACGUUAGCGGCGCACGUGUGAGUAACACGUGGAUAACCCACUUAUAAGACUGGGAUAAUUUCGGGAAACCGGAGCUAAUACCGUAUAAUAUACUGAACCGCAUGGUUGAAUAGUGAAAGACGGUUUUGGUGUCACUUAUAGAUGGAUACGGGCCGCAUUAGCUGGUUGGUAAGGUAACGGCUUACCACGGCAACUAUGCGUAGCCGACCUGAGUGGGGGGUCGCCGACAUUGGAGCGUAGACGGCGUCCAGACGCCUGCGGGAGGCAGCAGUAGGGAACCUUCCGCAAUGGGCGAGAGCCUGGCGGAGCAGCGCCGCGUCAGUGAUGACGGUCUUCGGAUCGUAAAGCUCUGUUAUGGGGGAUGAACAAAUGUGUCAUUAACUAUGCCCGUCUUGACGGUAACUAGUAAGAAAGCCCCGGCUAACUACGUG
This 497-nucleotide ribosomal RNA is filed under the name uncultured bacterium. RNAcentral's name for it is "partial 16S ribosomal RNA". It matches the Rfam family "Bacterial small subunit ribosomal RNA", at positions 28 to 507 of the family's 1533-position model. The record is from RNAcentral.